GCAAAGUUAAUAAGGGCGCACGGUGGAUGCCUUGGCACUAAGAGCCGAUGAAGGACGUGACUAACGACGAUAUUCUAGGGGGAGCAGUAAGUACGCAUUGAUCCCUAGGUCUCCGAAUGGGGAAACCCAGCUGCUACUAGCAGUUAUUCAUGAGUGAAUACAUAGCUCAUGUAAAGGUAACGCAGAGAACUGAAACAUCUAAGUACCUGCAGGAAGAGAAAGUAAAAACGAUUUCGUAAGUAGCGGCGAGCGAACGCGAAGAAGGGCAAACCAAGAAGCUUGCUUCUUGGGGUUGUAGGACUGCAACGUGGACUUAAGCAUUAUAGUCGAAUAACCUGGGAAGGUUAAUCAAAGAGGGUAAUAAUCCCGUAGACGAAAUAGCGCUUAUACCUAGCAGUAUCCUGAGUAGGGCUGGACACGCGAAAUCCAGUUUGAAU
This 437-nucleotide ribosomal RNA is filed under the name Lactococcus lactis subsp. lactis. Its description in RNAcentral is "bacterial LSU rRNA". It matches the Rfam family "Bacterial large subunit ribosomal RNA", at positions 1 to 443 of the family's 2925-position model. The record is from RNAcentral. Lineage: Bacteria; Bacillati; Bacillota; Bacilli; Lactobacillales; Streptococcaceae.